AGAUGUUUGAUCCUGGCUCAGAGCGAACGCUGGCGGCAGGCCUAACACAUGCAAGUCGAACGGAUCCUUCGGGAUUAGUGGCGGACGGGUGAGUAACACGUGGGAACGUGCCCUUUGGUUCGGAACAACUCAGGGAAACUUGAGCUAAUACCGGAUGUGCCCUUCGGGGGAAAGAUUUAUCGCCAUUGGAGCGGCCCGCGUCUGAUUAGCUAGUUGGUGGGGUAAAGGCCCACCAAGGCGACGAUCAGUAGCUGGUCUGAGAGGAUGAUCAGCCACAUUGGGACUGAGACACGGCCCAAACUCCUACGGGAGGCAGCAGUGGGGAAUCUUGCGCAAUGGGCGAAAGCCUGACGCAGCCAUGCCGCGUGAAUGAUGAAGGUCUUAGGAUUGUAAAAUUCUUUCACCGGGGACGAUAAUGACGGUACCCGGAGAAGAAGCCCCGGCUAACUUCGUGCCAGCAGCCGCGGUAAUACGAAGGGGGCUAGCGUUGCUCGGAAUUACUGGGCGUAAAGGGAGCGUAGGCGGACUGUUAAGUUAGAGGUGAAAGCCCAGGGCUCAACCUUGGAAUUGCCUUUGAUACUGGCAGUCUUGAGUACGGAAGAGGUAUGUGGAACUCCGAGUGUAGAGGUGAAAUUCGUAGAUAUUCGGAAGAACACCAGUGGCGAAGGCGACAUACUGGUCCGUUACUGACGCUGAGGCUCGAAAGCGUGGGGAGCAAACAGGAUUAGAUACCCUGGUAGUCCACGCCGUAAACGAUGAGUGCUAGUU
This 768-nucleotide ribosomal RNA is filed under the name uncultured bacterium. RNAcentral's name for it is "bacterial SSU rRNA". It matches the Rfam family "Bacterial small subunit ribosomal RNA", at positions 8 to 821 of the family's 1533-position model. The record is from RNAcentral.